GAUGAACGCUGGCGGCGUGCCUAAUACAUGCAAGUCGAGCGAACAGACGAUGAGCUUGCUCCUCUGACGUUAGCGGCGGACGGGUGAGUAACACGUGGAUAACCUACCUAUAAGACUGGGAUAACUGCGGGAAACCGGAGCUAAUACCGGAUAAUAUAUUGAACCGCAUGGUUCAAUAGUGAAAGACGGUUUUGCUGUCACUUAUAGAUGGAUCCGCGCCGCAUUAGCUAGUUGUUAAGGUAACGGCUUACCAAGGCAACUAUGCGUAGCCGACCUGAGAGAGGGAUAGGCCACACGGGAACGUAGCCGCGGUCAAGGGUCCUACGGGAGGGAGCAGUCGGGUAUCUUCCGCAGUGGGCGAGAGCAUGACGGAGCAACGCGGAGUGAGUGAUGGAGGUGUUCCGAUCGUGAAGCUCUGUUAUUAGGGAAGAACAACUGUGUAAGUAACUAUGCACGUCGUGACGGUACCUGAUCAGAAAGCAACGGCUAACUACGUG
This 497-nucleotide ribosomal RNA is filed under the name uncultured bacterium. RNAcentral describes it as "partial 16S ribosomal RNA". It matches the Rfam family "Bacterial small subunit ribosomal RNA", at positions 28 to 507 of the family's 1533-position model. The record is from RNAcentral.